UAAAGAGGCUUGCGCCCAGGCUCUCGGUACUUCGGAAGAGCUCCCGGAGUUUGACCCCAUCAGGUGGAUAGGGGAACCGUUACGGACGCAUUGCGACGUCUCUAACGACGCAGGCC
RNAcentral lists this small RNA (116 nucleotides) under unclassified sequences. RNAcentral's name for it is "DUF3268 RNA". It matches the Rfam family "DUF3268 RNA". The record is from Rfam by way of RNAcentral.